Molecule: ribosomal RNA, 450 nt
Filed under: uncultured bacterium
Lineage: Bacteria
Description: partial 16S ribosomal RNA
Rfam family: Bacterial small subunit ribosomal RNA
Source: RNAcentral
GUGGGGAAUUUUGGACAAUGGGCGCAAGCCUGAUCCAGCAAUGCCGCGUGCAGGAAGAAGGCCUUCGGGUUGUAAACUGCUUUUGUACGGAACGAAAAGGCUCUGGUUAAUACCUGGGGCUCAUGACGGUACCGUAAGAAUAAGCACCGGCUAACUACGUGCCAGCAGCCGCGGUAAUACGUAGGGUGCAAGCGUUAAUCGGAAUUACUGGGCGUAAAGCGUGCGCAGGCGGUUUUGUAAGACAGACGUGAAAUCCCCGGGCGCAACCUGGGAAUGGCGUUUGUGACUGCAAAGCUGGAGUGCGGCAGAGGGGGAUGGAAUUCCGCGUGUAGCAGUGAAAUGCGUAGAUAUGCGGAGGAACACCGAUGGCGAAGGCAAUCCCCUGGGCCUGCACUGACGCUCAUGCACGAAAGCGUGGGGAGCAAACAGGAUUAGAAACCCCAGUAGUCC